This 77-nucleotide transfer RNA is filed under the name Bacteroidota bacterium. Its description in RNAcentral is "Bacteroidetes bacterium (hydrothermal vent metagenome) tRNA-Arg". It matches the Rfam family "tRNA". From Rfam's summary of the family: Transfer RNA (tRNA) molecules are approximately 80 nucleotides in length. Their secondary structure includes four short double-helical elements and three loops (D, anti-codon, and T loops). Lineage: Bacteria; Pseudomonadati; Bacteroidota. The record is from RNAcentral. RNAcentral also lists the same sequence under 1 other name.
GCGCCCGUAGUUCAACUGGAUAGAACGUCUGACUACGGAUCAGAAGGUUGGGGGUUCGAGUCCUCCCGGGCGCACAA